UAAGAAAUAAGAACUUACUCAACAACUCCUGGAGCCAAAGGAAUACUGAUUUUUAGUCAUUCUUGUGUCUUUUCCUGGAGAACCAUCCUCCUUUAUCCCCACCUCAGGAAUUCUUCGCUUGUGUGAGUAAUAAACCUUUCUCUGGUUAUACCAAAGCACUACUGUCAUGACCUUCAGUAGGAGAAACUAACCUUGGGAGGAGCUGCCCCAUGACAUGGUGAAGUUGCUAGAAAAGCCAUCAUAGAAGAGAUCAUCCAAAAACAAAGACUCCUGAAAGCAUCCAGACAGAAGAAACAGGUUGCACAUGAAUGAGGACCAGGUGGGUUUCUCCAAGAAUGGGACCAUCACACCAUGAGAUCCAAGAAGCCCCAGGAAGAAAGCAGGUUACAUCUGCACUAAUGUGGAACUCUCAUCAGUGGAAACCAGAUUA
This is a long non-coding RNA of Eptesicus fuscus (big brown bat), 430 nucleotides long. RefSeq lists it as uncharacterized. NCBI's taxonomy places the organism in Eukaryota, Metazoa, Chordata, Mammalia, Chiroptera, Vespertilionidae. The record is from RefSeq and is a predicted model, not a curated record. The transcript is spliced from 4 exons.